CAGUCGCCGCGGUAAUACGGAAGGUGCAAGCGUUAAUCGGAAUUACUGGGCGUAAAGCGCACGCAGGCGGUCUGACAAGUCAGAUGUGAAAUCCCCGGGCUUAACCUGGGAACUGCAUUUGAAACUGUCAGGCUGGAGUCUUGUAGAGGGGGGUGGAAUUCCAGGUGUAGCGGUGAAAUGCGUAGAGAUCUGGAGGAAUACCGGUGGCGAAGGCGGCCCCCUGGACAAAGACUGACGCUCAGGUGCGAAAGCGUGGGGAGCAAACAGGAUUAGAGACCCCGGUAGUCCCUGUCUCUUAUAC
RNAcentral lists this ribosomal RNA (301 nucleotides) under uncultured bacterium. RNAcentral describes it as "partial 16S ribosomal RNA". It matches the Rfam family "Bacterial small subunit ribosomal RNA", at positions 509 to 807 of the family's 1533-position model. The record is from RNAcentral.